UGCCCCAUGGUGUAAUGGUAGCACAGCUGGUUUUGAUCCAGCCAGUCCAAGUUCAAAUCUUGGUGGGGCAA
Molecule: transfer RNA, 71 nt
Filed under: Phycisphaerales bacterium
Lineage: Bacteria; Pseudomonadati; Planctomycetota; Phycisphaerae; Phycisphaerales
Description: tRNA-Gln
Rfam family: tRNA
About the family: Transfer RNA (tRNA) molecules are approximately 80 nucleotides in length. Their secondary structure includes four short double-helical elements and three loops (D, anti-codon, and T loops).
Source: RNAcentral